UACGGGGGGGGCAAGCGUUGUUCGGAAUUACUGAGCGUAAAGGGCUCGUAGGUGGCCAACUAAGUCAGACGUGAAAUCCCUCGGCUUAACCGGGGAACUGCGUCUGAUACUGGAUGGCUUGAGUUUGGGAGAGGGACGCGGAAUUCCAGGUGUAGCGGUGAAAUGCGUAGAUAUCUGGAGGAACACCGGUGGCGAAGGCGGCGUCCUGGACCAACACUGACACUGAUGAGCGAAAGCCAGGGGAGCAAACGGG
Molecule: ribosomal RNA, 253 nt
Filed under: uncultured bacterium
Lineage: Bacteria
Description: partial 16S ribosomal RNA
Rfam family: Bacterial small subunit ribosomal RNA
Source: RNAcentral